Molecule: long non-coding RNA, 1146 nt
Filed under: Heterocephalus glaber (naked mole-rat)
Lineage: Eukaryota; Metazoa; Chordata; Mammalia; Rodentia; Bathyergidae
Description: lncRNA (ENSHGLG00100044714.1)
Source: RNAcentral
GGAACGUAAACAUCAUGGACUGCAAAUGGGUACUAAUAAAAUAUAAAAAUUGGGGAAAAAAAGAAAAAAAAUACCUGAGGAGGGAGAAAAAGCUAAUAAACAGCUCUGUAAUUGUUAAUGGGGAUGUCAUAAUACAGGAAGACUGAAGUUCUCAUUUCCUCAGAAUGACACUUCAGUGAUUUAUCCAACUAACAAAUUCUUCCCUAAUAAUUAUUUUUGGGGAAAAGCCACUGCUGUCUCACUCCCAGCCCUAAACUCCAUUGAGUAAUCCAGCCCUGGUGCAGCUCAUGUCUGUAGCAAACAUUCAUUUGCUCAACAAAUAUUUAUAUUUUGAUAUUUGCCAAGUGCCAGGCAUGGUGUUUGGUUCUGAGAAGGCAAAGGUCAUAAAGUAAAAUCUUGUAGGAAUUCACGCAAGGUGUGGGGGUGCUGACAAGGGAACCCCAUCCUAGUGAGAUGAGCUCAGAGCUUUCAGAUCUGGGGGACUAUGGCUCUGUGCGGAGCCGACCUCACCAAGGAGACAGGGACGUGCUGGGGCUCGAAGCAGCGGAACAACUGCCAAAGAGAACUGGGAAUUAAACUCAGGAUCUUUGCACUGACCCACUUCCCAGAGGGUCUCCCUAGGCUCAAAUAUACAAUCCUCCUGGCUCAGCCUCCCAGCGUGCUCCCAGGCAUUCAUCACGACCCAGGAUGCCCAUGUUUCUAAGUACCACCUUCUUGUCAUACAUCACUGUCCCGACCGAAAUGGUAUCCUGGGGAAGAUGUCGGCAUGAUUCAGGAAAGGGGGAGCUCAGAGCAUCUGGGCAUGCACGGUUCAGCACCUUGAGGAAGCCAGAUGUUUUUGCCCGCAUACGCGUGUGAAUAUAGGCCUUGGAGCACUUGAUGUGGUAAUGCAGGUAGUCCCGGAACGUGUGGAUCAGGUUGACGGUGUUGUCUCAGGAACUGGCAUUGGUGUGGUGAGGGAACAGCACAAAGGUGACGUAGCCAGUGUUGUCGCCCACGGCCGCAUCUGUACCGUUCAGCUCCGGAGGAGGUUCCCUGUGGCUAAAGAGAACCUGGGGGCUGUGUGGCUGGCUCUGCGUCCUUCUUUGAACUCCUGCAUGAACACCUUUCCAAUGACCACGUCGUCGUCAUCUUUAAACACUGUGC